This 624-nucleotide ribosomal RNA is filed under the name Bacillus sp. (in: firmicutes). Its description in RNAcentral is "Bacillus sp. (in: Bacteria) partial 16S ribosomal RNA". It matches the Rfam family "Bacterial small subunit ribosomal RNA", at positions 805 to 1426 of the family's 1533-position model. The record is from RNAcentral. Lineage: Bacteria; Bacillati; Bacillota; Bacilli; Caryophanales; Bacillaceae.
AACGAUGAGGGGCUAAGUUGUUAGAGGGGUUUUCGCCCUUUAGUGGUGAAGUUAAAGCAUUAAGCACUUCGCCUGGGGAGUUCGGCCGCAAGGGUGAAACUCAAAAGAAUUGACGGGGGGCCGCACAAGCGGUGGAGCAUGUGGUUUAAUUUGAAGCAACGCGAAGAACCUUACCCGGUCUUGACAUCCUUUGAAAACCCUAGAGAUUAGGGUUUUCCUUUGGGAGCAGAGUGACAGGUGGUGCAUGGUUGUUGUCAGCUCGUGUCGUGAGAUGUUGGGUUAAGUCCCGCAACGAGCGCAACCCUUGAUUUUUGUUGCCCUCCUUAAGUUGGGCACUUUAAGGUGACUGCCGGUGACAAACCGGAGGAAGGUGGGGAUGACGUCAAAUCAUCAUGCCCCUUUUGACCUGGGGUACCCACGUGGUUCAAUGGGCGGUACAAAGAGGUGCAAGGCCCCGAGGGGGAGCUAAUUUCCUAAAACCCUUUUCCGUUUGGGUUGUUGGGUGCAACUUGCCUACCUGAAGCCGGAAUCGGUUGUAAUCGCGGGUCAGCCUGCCGCGGGGAAUACGUUCCCGGGCCUUGUACCCCCCCCCCGUCCCCCCCCGAGAGGUUGUAACCCCCGAAG